RNAcentral lists this ribosomal RNA (375 nucleotides) under Syllis hyalina. Its description in RNAcentral is "bacterial SSU rRNA". It matches the Rfam family "Eukaryotic small subunit ribosomal RNA", at positions 1457 to 1814 of the family's 1831-position model. Lineage: Eukaryota; Metazoa; Annelida; Polychaeta; Phyllodocida; Syllidae. The record is from RNAcentral.
UAAGUUUCAGCUGCCCUUAGAUGUUCGGGGCCGCACGCGCGCUACACUGAAGGUGUCAGAGGGUCGAGUCCUAGGUCGAGAGGCCCGGGCAACCCGUGCAGAAACGCCAUCGUGCUAGGGACUGGGGCUUGAAAUUCUUGCCCACGAACGAGGAAUUCCCAGUAAGCGCGAGUCAUCAGCUCGUGUUGAUUACGUCCCUGCCCUUUGUACACACCGCCCGUCGCUACUACCGAUUGAAUGGUUUAGUGAGGCCCUCGGACGCGUCCCGGGCUGGUGGGGGCCAUCCCCCCAGUCGUCUUGGUUGUUGCGCAAAAGACGGUCGAACUUGAUCAUUUAGAGGAAGUAAAAGUCGUAACAAGGUUUCCGUAGGUGAAC